GACGAACGCUGGCGGCGUGGAUUAGGCAUGCAAGUCGAACGGUAUCAUCCUUUCGGGGGUGAGAGAGUGGCGAACUGGUGAGUAACACGUAGGUUAUCUACCCUCAAGACGGGGACAACCCAGGGAAACUUGGGCUAAUACCGGAUGUGAGCAACUUUUAGUUGUUUGAAAGGUGGCGUAAGCUGUCGCUUGGGGAUGAGCCUGCGUCCUAUUAGUUAGUUGGUGAGGUAACGGCUCACCUAGGCAAUGAUAGGUAGGCGGCCUUAACGGGUGGUCGCCCACACUGGGAUUGACGAUACGGCCCAGACUCCUACGGGAGGCAGCAGUCGAGAAUAGUCUACAAUGGUCGGAAGACUGAUAGUGCGACGCCGCGUGAACGAUGAAUCCCUUACGGGGUGUAAAGUUCUUUUAUAUGUGAGCAGUGCUUCUUAUAUUAACAGUAUGGGGAGAGGAGAUAUUAGCAUAUGAAUAAGCAACGGCUAACUCCGUGCCAGCAGCCGCGGUAAUCUCG
This 511-nucleotide ribosomal RNA is filed under the name uncultured bacterium. RNAcentral's name for it is "bacterial SSU rRNA". It matches the Rfam family "Bacterial small subunit ribosomal RNA", at positions 28 to 527 of the family's 1533-position model. The record is from RNAcentral.